Molecule: non-coding RNA, 120 nt
Filed under: uncultured Leptotrichia sp.
Lineage: Bacteria; Fusobacteriati; Fusobacteriota; Fusobacteriia; Fusobacteriales; Leptotrichiaceae
Description: FMN riboswitch (RFN element)
Rfam family: FMN riboswitch aptamer (RFN element)
About the family: The RFN element is a highly conserved domain that is found frequently in the 5'-untranslated regions of prokaryotic mRNAs that encode for flavin mononucleotide (FMN) biosynthesis and transport proteins. This element is a metabolite-dependent riboswitch that directly binds FMN in the absence of proteins. In Bacillus subtilis, the riboswitch most likely controls gene expression by causing premature transcription termination within the 5' untranslated region of the ribDEAHT operon and precluding access to the ribosome-binding site of ypaA mRNA.
Source: RNAcentral
CUUCAGGGCAAGGUGAAAUUCCUGACCGGUGGUUAAAGUCCACGAGCAAAGCUAAAUAUAUUUUAGUUGCAUGAAACGGUGCAAUUCCGUUACCGACAGUACAGUCUGGAUGAAAGAAGU